RNAcentral lists this ribosomal RNA (427 nucleotides) under uncultured bacterium. RNAcentral describes it as "partial 16S ribosomal RNA". It matches the Rfam family "Bacterial small subunit ribosomal RNA", at positions 355 to 774 of the family's 1533-position model. The record is from RNAcentral.
UGGGGAAUAUUGCACAAUGGGCGCAAGCCUGAUGCCGCCAUGCCGCGUGUAUGAAGAAGGCCUUCGGGUUGUAAAGUACUUUCAGCGAGGAGGAAGGCGGUAAGGUUAAUAACCUUAUCGAUUGACGUUACUCGCAGAAGAAGCACCGGCUAACUCCGUGCCAGCAGCCGCGGUAAUACGGAGGGUGCAAGCGUUAAUCGGAAUUACUGGGCGUAAAGCGCACGCAGGCGGUCUGUCAAGUCGGAUGUGAAAUCCCCGGGCUCAACCUGGGAACUGCAUUCGAAACUGGCAGGCUAGAGUCUUGUAGAGGGGGGUAGAAUUCCAGGUGUAGCGGUGAAAUGCGUAGAGAUCUGGAGGAAUACCGGUGGCGAAGGCGGCCCCCUGGACAAAGACUGACGCUCAGGUGCGAAAGCGUGGGGAGCAAACA